RNAcentral lists this long non-coding RNA (199 nucleotides) under Vigna radiata. Its description in RNAcentral is "long non-coding RNA (VRAD_LNC014909)". Lineage: Eukaryota; Viridiplantae; Streptophyta; Magnoliopsida; Fabales; Fabaceae. The record is from RNAcentral.
UCUUGGGUGUGUUUUCGGUGUGAGGAACAAGAAAGAGCUGGAGGAGUGUGUUGGAGAGUAAGAAAACCGAAAUGGACAAGGGAAAGAAGAGAGAGGAGUGCAUUUAAGUUUUUGCCAUUUUUGGACCAACAAAAAAGAUGCUUGCCUUGACUCAAGGAAGGUUUCCACUUUUGCACUUUGUCUUUACUUGCAAUCUGCC